AACGAACGCUGGCGGCAUGCCUAACACAUGCAAGUCGAACGAGACCUUCGUGUCUAGUUGCUCACGGGUGCGUCACGCGUCGGAACCUUCCCUUAUGCUCGGAAUACCUCCCCUACAUGGGUGCUAAUACCGGAUAAUUUCUUCUGACCACAGAUUUAUCGACUUUGUAUGGGCCCGCGUUGUAUUAGCUGGUUGGUAGUGUAAGAGCCUAUCAAGGCAAGGUUCCAUAGCUGGUAUGAGAGAAAGGGCAGCGACACUGAGACUGAGACACGGCCGAGAAUACUACGGGAGGGAGGAGAGGGGAAUAUAGGAAAAUGGGGGGAAGCAAGAACGAGCAAUGCUGGGUGAGUGAUGAAGGCCUGAGGGAUGAAAAGCUCGUUUACACGGGAUGAUAAUGACAGUACCGAAAGAAUAAGCACCGGCUAACUCCGUG
Molecule: ribosomal RNA, 433 nt
Filed under: uncultured bacterium
Lineage: Bacteria
Description: partial 16S ribosomal RNA
Rfam family: Bacterial small subunit ribosomal RNA
Source: RNAcentral